This 749-nucleotide long non-coding RNA is filed under the name Medicago truncatula (barrel medic). Its description in RNAcentral is "long non-coding RNA (MTRU_LNC000918)". The record is from RNAcentral. Lineage: Eukaryota; Viridiplantae; Streptophyta; Magnoliopsida; Fabales; Fabaceae.
AAGUUUUCUCUGAUCCGAUACUAUGACCACAAAUCCCACACACUUCACCUUCUUCAACCUUGUGAUAGUGCCCACAUACUCCACAAGGUUUUCCCUCUCUCUUUUCCUCAUUAUCAAUCCGACCCAGAUGAAGAAACAACGAGUUUGAAUCAAAUCAAUGUUAAAAAUCAAACCUUUUCACGAUUUAAGAAUGACCCAGAUGAAAAAAAAUUGAUUUUUAGAAGAUUAAAGAAAAGGGUUUUGAAGAGGAUCAAGAAAGAGGUGAAUUUUUUUUUUUGGCUUUCACACCGGUUUCCGACCCACCAAAGAAGGGCGACUAAUCCGACUUAUGCGUUGAGGCAUGCGCACUGACCAAGUGUUGUUUCCCCUGAUACGUCCUUGGAGGAGCUCCUUGUCACUGAAGCCCAAACAACUUGGUUGAAAGAGGUGAAAUUUAUUGGAGUAGGGUUUUGAAGAGGAUCAAGAAAGAGGUGAAAUUUAAUGGAGGCUGUUUUGUUGUUUUUAUGUUGUGUUGUCAAUCGUCAAUGAAAUUAUAAUGAUUUUAAUUAAUUGAUAAUGAGGUAGAGAGAAGAGAAAGAGGAAGCGUGUUUGAUCUCUUAUUUUAUUUAUUUUUAUUAAAAAAUUGAUGUUUUGUUUAUUUUUAAUCUGAACCAUUGAAUAUUUUUUUCCACGUGUCAUUCAUCUAAGACUUUAGAUGGGGUAAAUGGAGCAUACCCGGAUUCCUAUUUUGUGGUCAUGUGUUACUAAAC